RNAcentral lists this long non-coding RNA (1205 nucleotides) under Homo sapiens (human). RNAcentral describes it as "HSALNT0319965". Lineage: Eukaryota; Metazoa; Chordata; Mammalia; Primates; Hominidae. The record is from RNAcentral.
UCAAUGAAGCUCCUCUCUGCCUUGCUCACCCUCCACUUGUCCGUGUACCUCAUUCUUGUCGUGGAACAAGACCCUGGGACCCAGUGAAUGGUGGGACUGAAAGAGCGGUAACACAAACAGGGCUGAAACAUGCCCACCGCUCGCCACUUUGUGGGCGACGAGGAGAAACGAACUGCUGUGGCCCUUCAGGAAUCCCAGACCUAGAGACUCCUGAGCCAGGGCUGUGACACCCUCUUUGGGGCUCCGCAGUUUCUGGUGUCUCCAAGCUUCCGGGUGCCAUCGUAUUUCCCAGUGCCUGCAGUGGAAGCCAUUUGUGGUAACGCCUGGUCCAGCCAGUCUCACACGGAACCCACGCCUGUGCUGGCGCCUGGAGCUGCCUGCCCAGUGGCAGCAAGCACGCAUGGCUGUGUGCAGUGGCCAGACCCCAUGCUUAUUAACACACCCCUUGCUACUCCUCACCAGGCUCGCCCUUGGCAGGUGUGGGAUCCAGGUCAGUAUUAUGAGCCAAAUACAGCCUGCUGGGGCGAGUGAGCAGAAGAGGCCAGCGGGCCCGUGUAAAACUCAGGCAAAGGCACCACCAGCCGCAGAGGUUUCCAACUGAAAAAGUGACACGGUUUGAUCUUCGCAGUGGCCUGUGGCUAAGACUGAUAUUAAAGGAAGAAUUAAAAUCCUGAAUCAAUCAUGAACUUUAAAGUUAAGAUGAAUUCAAGGAUAUCAAACUUGACUGCAUAAGAGAGUAUCAUGUUUGGAGAGAAGAAAUAAUUUUAUUGCGAGACACAAAGUGGUGUCUGUCACUUAAAUCCUUCACCAAUCUACCUCCUGUACUCGUGGAAAAAAAGGAAUCAGUCGGUCCUGCUACAGAUUGAAUGUUCACAUUCUCCAAAAACUUAAUUGCUGAAAUCUUAACCCCUAAUUUGAUGGCAUUAGGAAGUGGAGUCGUUGGAGGUGAUAAGGUCAUGAGAACAGAUCCCUCAUGAAUGGCAUUAGUGCCCGUAUAAAAGAGUCCUCAGAGAACUCCCUCAUCCAUUUCACCAUUUGAAGACACAGCAAGAAGAUCGUAAUCAAUAAACUAGAAAGUUGGCCCUUACCAGAUAUUGAAUCUACUGGCACCUUGAUCUUGGACUUUCCAGCCUUCAGAACUGUGAGGAAUAAAUUUCUGUUGUUUACAAGCUCCCCCCUUAUGGCAUUUUAUUACUGCAACAAGA